UGCAAGUCGAGCGGACAGAAGGGAGCUUGCUCCCGGAUGUUAGCGGCGGACGGGUGAGUAACACGUGGGCUAACCUGCCUGUAAGACUGGGAUAACUCCGGGAAACCGGAGCUAAUACCGGAUAGUUCCUUGAACCGCAUGGUUCAAGGAUGAAAGACGGUUUCGGCUGUCACUUACAGAUGGACCCGCGGCGCAUUAGCUAGUUGGUGAGGUAACGGCUCACCAAGGCGACGAUGCGUAGCCGACCUGAGAGGGUGAUCGGCCACACUGGGACUGAGACACGGCCCAGACUCCUACGGGAGGCAGCAGUAGGGAAUCUUCCGCAAUGGACGAAAGUCUGACGGAGCAACGCCGCGUGAGUGAUGAAGGUUUUCGGAUCGUAAAGCUCUGUUGUUAGGGAAGAACAAGUGCAAGAGUAACUGCUUGCACCUUGACGGUACCUAACCAGAAAGCCACGGCUAACUACGUGCCAGCAGCCGCGGUAAUACGUAGGUGGCAAGCGUUGUCCGGAAUUAUUGGGCGUAAAGGGCUCGCAGGCGGUUUCUUAAGUCUGAUGUGAAAGCCCCCGGCUCAACCGGGGAGGGUCAUUGGAAACUGGGAAACUU
This 605-nucleotide ribosomal RNA is filed under the name Bacillus pumilus. Its description in RNAcentral is "bacterial SSU rRNA". It matches the Rfam family "Bacterial small subunit ribosomal RNA", at positions 56 to 643 of the family's 1533-position model. Lineage: Bacteria; Bacillati; Bacillota; Bacilli; Caryophanales; Bacillaceae. The record is from RNAcentral.